Molecule: long non-coding RNA, 2292 nt
Organism: Cercocebus atys (sooty mangabey)
Lineage: Eukaryota; Metazoa; Chordata; Mammalia; Primates; Cercopithecidae
Exons: 2
Source: RefSeq, a predicted model, not a curated record
UCCUGGCCUCAAGCAGUCCUCCCGCUUCAGCCUCUCAAAGUGCUGGGAUUACAUACGUGAGCCACCAGCCUGGCUUACUUCCAUCAUCAUACCCUGUCUCUGGCUGGCAUGAGAUGGGUGAUGAGAUAGAACUUCCCAUUUUGUGUUCCCAGGACCUGGAGGAAAUCCGCAGGUGUGAAACAAGACAACUGUGGUCCUUAUUUCCCUGUGGGAUGGGUGGGGCUCUAUUUAGGUGUUACCAGCAUAGUAGACAGACAUGUCACCAAUAACCACUCAGUGGCCAGGGCUUUGAUGGAUCCAGAGGGCUGAGGGAGCUGCCCACCCCAGGCUGGAGGGUCAAGGAAGGCUUCUUUCUGGGAGGGGACCCUCAAGCUAAGACCUGAAGAACGAGUAGGAGCUGGGUAAGAGGAAGGUAAGGAAGAGUCUUGAGGAGGAUGGCAGGUACGGACAGUUCUGGUUGCUACAAGCACUUCAGUACCGUCAGGGCGUAGGAAACGAGCUCUAACUUGAAAGCCAUGAUUGGCCUGUGGAGGUUUUGAGAACCUCAUGAAUUUUUAUGCAAUUCCAUGUGCCUCUGUAUUCUCCAAUGCAGUGGUUCAUGGCAUCAUUUGUGGGUUCCAAAAAGGAUUUAUGGCUCCUCAGAACUAAAUAACCACUGAUUUGAUGUUCAAAGGGGGAGCAGAAGAAGAUGGAGCCAGCGAGGUUACCAGGUGCUAGGCCAUGCAGGACCUCCAUAAGCCAUAGUCUGGCGAUGUGGAAGAAAGCCAAGGAGGUCCCUAUUUACCACCCCAGAUACCUAGGCACGGUGCCUAGGCAUUACCAGGAGAGACCAGCAGAGGGCGCUGUAGCCCAGCACAUGGACAUGCAGGGAAAGGCUUCCCAGACGAAAGGCCCUAGCCUCUCCCCACCACCUCCUCUCUGGGGCACUCUAGGGUCCUUUUAGCCACCAACCUUGGUUCCUUCUCUCGUUCUGAUGCCCUACCCGAGAUUCUGAGACUAGUCAGCUUCCCUCCCUUGUUUUUGUUGCCCAUCUCCCCUUCACAAGGCUCUGAGCUCCCACCAGGGAAGAUUGGGGCUGAAUUGGCUUCUCCUGUGGCCCAGCAUUGUCUCCCACAAGGAGCCAGGAACACAGCAUGUACUGAGGGAAUGAAGACGUAAGGUUGCUAAGGAAGGAGGACGAUGGGCCAUAGGGAUGCAAUCUGGAGUCUUUUACCCUGGCUCACUCCUCCAGGAAGCCCUCCCUGCACACCAGCCCAGGCUCUCCCAGCUGACCACUUCAUGCUGGCAGGUCUUUGUUCUCUCUGGAGUGGGAGCUCUGUGAGAACAGGGUCCAGGACUGCCGUGGCCAUAUUGUGUCCCCAGCACUGUCCAGGGCAGCUGAAGAACACAGCAGGUGGCUCACACACACUGGCUGAAACAUGAAGCUCCUGGAAUCCUCAUGAGCCCCAACCACAGAACAGGCAGUAACUGUCCUCCGUGCUGCACACAGGCCAGGUCUGAGGCAGGUGGUCUGUGGAUACCCAGUGAUGAUCCUGAACAAACCAGCCCUGGUCUCUGCCCCAUCAGUCCCACCCAUCCCUCCACCUACAGGCCUGUUCCACGUCCUUUACUCAAAAACUCCUGGAGGGAUUUUAGACCGUGAGAAGUAGAGUACCAGAGAAGCACUUUAAAAAUGAACCAGAUGAUUGUAAACCAGGGACCCUUGUUUAAGUGUGCAUUUUUGGCACCAAAAUCCGGGCCAAGCAUAUGAAUCCCUCAGUAAGUUGGUUUAAUGAAUGAGUAAAUAAUUUCCCUUUAAAAGGCCCCCACCCCAAUUAACGGCCAACUGCAGUUAACACUUCAGGGUUUUAACCCUGCUUCCUUCCUGCUAGGAGGUGCCAUGUCAUUUAUUCAAAGAAAACAAAACGAAACCAAACAAAACAGGGCAAACACAUUUCUUAAUAAGUGCAGUUUGUUAAAAUCAUGUUAAAACAUAUGAGUCAAGGGGAAGUAAAAAUAAAGGGUAUCACUGUAGGAAAAGCUUUUGGGUCUGGCACCUGGGAGACCACUGGAGAGGAGGCAGUGGGAGAAACUUCAAGUUCUGAAGGGAAGGAGCCCCCCAACCUCCCUCCUUCCCUCUCACCCACUGAAUCCCACCAGAAACUACCAAGACGCCCGGAAUAAAAGGUUUCAAGUUCAAUAGUCACACUCUCUCCAAAUACAAAAAGCAGUUACAAUUCAACUGAACACAGAAGCUUGUGUGCAAAGUUAUGGGGAACUGGGGCAUCGUAUAAAAAGUCGGGUUAAAGAUGA